Molecule: long non-coding RNA, 1252 nt
Filed under: Lonchura striata (white-rumped munia)
Lineage: Eukaryota; Metazoa; Chordata; Aves; Passeriformes; Estrildidae
Description: domestica (Bengalese finch) lncRNA (ENSLSDG00000011830.1)
Source: RNAcentral
AGUCUCAUCGGACCCCCGGGUGGGGGUGGGGGGUGCUGGGUCCCGGUGCUGGAUCCUCUCUGGAUCCCGGAUCUGGAUAUUCCCAUUGGAGCCCGGUUCUGGUUCUGGAUCCCGGUGCUGGGUCCCGGUUCUGGUUCUGGAUAUUCCCACUGGGUCCCAGUUCUGGAGAUUCCCAUUGGAGCCCAGUUCUGGAUUUCAUCACUGCAUCCUGGUUCUGGAUCUUCUCAUUUGACCUCGGUUCUGGAUCACGGUUCUGGAUGUCCUCACAGAGUCCAGUCCUGGUUCUGGAUUUCCUCACUGGACCCCAGCUCUGGAUUUCCUCACAGAGUCCAGUCCUGGUUCUGGAUUUCCUCACGGAAUCCCAGUUCUGGAUUUCCUCACGGAGUCCAGUCCUGGUUCUGGAUUUCCUCACGGAGUCCAGUUCUGGUUCUGGAUUUCCUCACUGGACCCCGGUUCUGGAUUUCCUCACGGAGUCCAGUUCUGGUUCUGGAUCCCCUCACUGGAUCCCGGUUCUGGAUCCCAGUCCUUGAUCCAGGCCCGACCCCGGAUCCCGGUGCCGGAGGAGGUCGGGGAUUCCCCAGCCCGGGAUCAGUCCUGGAUCAGUUCUGGAUCCCCUGGGACGGUUCUGGAUCCCGUGGAUCGCUUGGCGUCAUCCCAAACCUCUCCAGGCAGAUCCCAAACCUCUCCAGGCAGAUCCCAAACCUCUCUGCUGAAUCCCAAACAACUUCCAGACAGAUCCUAAAUCUUUCCAGACAGAUACUAAAUCCUUCCAGGCUGAUCCCAAACCCCUGGGGCAGAUCCCAAACCCCUCAGGGCAGAGAUGGAUCCCAAACCUCUCCAGGUGGAUCCCAAACCCCCAGGGCUGAUCCCAAACCUUUCAGGUGGAUCCCAAACCCCUGAGAUGGAUCCUAAGUCUUUCCAGGCCAAUCCCAAACCCCUGGGUCGGACCCCAAACCCCUCCAGAUGGACCCCAAACCCCUGAGAUGGAUCCAAAACCUCUCCAGGGUGAUCCCAAACCCCUCAGACUGAUCUGAAACCUCUCCAGGGUGAUCCCAAACCUCUCCAGGGCUGAUCCCAAACUUCUCCAGGUAGACCCCAAACCCCUGAGAUGGAUCCCAAACCCCUGCAGGUGGACUCCAAACCCGAGAUGGAUCCGAAACCUUUCCAGAUGGACCCCAAACCCCUCCAGGUGGAUCCCAAACCUCUCCAGGGCUGAUCCCAAACUUCUCCAGGUGGACCCCAAACCCCUGAG